Culex pipiens pallens (northern house mosquito) is the source of this 2279-nucleotide long non-coding RNA. RefSeq lists it as uncharacterized. NCBI's taxonomy places the organism in Eukaryota, Metazoa, Arthropoda, Insecta, Diptera, Culicidae. The record is from RefSeq and is a predicted model, not a curated record. The transcript is spliced from 3 exons.
UUGUCGUUGCGGAUAGAAUUCAAACUGCAUAACUACCGAGUGAAGUCUGGGAGCAUAUUUUUUGGCACCUCAGUGCGCAGCAAUUGCUAUUGAUUCGCCUCACUUGCCAUCGAUUCCGAAACAUUGUAUCAAGUUGUCCUGUGCUGAGGGAUAAAUUAUGCCUGCGUUUUUCGAUAAACGAAAGAGAUCAAGAGUUUAAUCCACUGCCGGUGCCAGCCGCAACCAAUGUAAUGUUCAGCAGUUCGAAAUUGAGGAAUAUCAACUCGUGGUGGACGUCGAUUGGCGAAAUGGUAACGAGUCUCACAUUGAACGAGUGUUCUUUCCAGAUGGAUAUGCUAGCUUCCACACCAAAUCUCAAAAGGUUAGAUAUUUCAAAAGGAAGUGUCGAUGAACAAACUCUGGAUUUUCAGCUGAACGAAAUGGAGUAUCUUGUAUUAGCUGAAGCGAACUCUGCCAUCGGUGAAAGCAUAGUAAGAAUUACUCCUCAUUAAAUUGGGCUGGAUAUUUCGAAAUGUUUGAUCGACCUUGACCACAUCGAUACUUGGCUGCAGAUGAUUGAAGUCGUGCAAAGCACGUUGCAUGAAAUCAAGGUGGACGCAGAGCCAACCUUACUCGAAGGGCUUUCGGAAUUGCCACAACUGAAGCUGAAACGUGUUACCAUAACGGGGAAUUGGAAUUGUUGGACAGAUGAGUCAGCGCUACUUGAAUUUGCACGAUCACAGCCAACGAUUGAGAAGCUAGAUAUGAGACAUCUUUUUGUGAGAGAAAAAGCGCUGCAAUGUUUGGGCAGAUCCUUACCCAAACUGAAACAUUUCGCGUUUUUUAUGAAAUAUAGAAUGCCCUCAUUUUUGGAUACCAUGCCAAACUUGGAAUAUUUAGGCACACAAAAAGGUCGACUUGGACCUUGGAAACUUUAUUAAAUCAUGCCGUUAAAGCCAAUUAUCCAGAGCGUUAGUUAAUUGCAAUACAUUGCACGAAUUCGUUAGGCACUCUUAAAAUCUUCGUUCUAUCCAUUUAAAUAAAAAAAAAACAAGCUGCAGAAGCUGAUUUUGCACCCUAACAAUGAUGGCCUUGUUAUAACACUUCAGUGAUUACAAAAUGAGAUCUAAAUUGUCAGCACAUAAACGAUGAGAUUUUGUUAAAACUGGAAAAGUUCUGCUCAAUCAUAAACGUUUAGUGGCGCAUUGUGUUUCCAGUAAGAAAAUACAAGACCAUGCCACCAUUACAUGCUUCAUGGACAUGGACUCGUGCCAAAAACACCUCUUUUAUUAUGCUUCCAUUGAGAAAAUAUCCACCCGUAAUUUGUUUGGCCGUUUGAAAGGUGCGUGGCCUCAACUCACCUCCUCUUACCUCCAUUUUGAAGAUGAUGAUGAAAGCGAUUUGUUCUAGUGUUUGUUUAAUUUUCCUGCGUUUCAUUCGACACCAGAGAGCAAACGAUGAACGACGGCGCUGGGUGGCGCGAUUAGUGGAUGUGGGCCUUAAUUUUUACUACUAUUAGUGUACUACAAGUUGUUUUCUUGGAUGUAGAGUAGGGGGUGGGGAGAGCUCAAGGUGCCAAAGAAAAUUCUCUCAGCUAAUAAAUCAAGUCACGUUUUCGGGGCAAACAACUGUUUGCGAGCGUGGAGGUGGUGCGAAUUGCAUGAUUAAGACACAUUCAUUUUUAAACGAUAGUCCGUGCUUUUACUGAGCGUGCCUCAAUUCGACAAUUAAUUGGAAAAAGUAGAUAUUUUAAUUAGCGUGCCGUGUUUUGAAAAUUGAAUUUCGAAACAAGCUCUUCGAUUGACUGAGUGCCGACAUGACAAAUUCACAUCACUUUGAUGGAGUCGCACGAUGCCUCAACUUUUCGCCUCAGCAACAGCAGCAAUCGAAGUCGGCGUGGCGCCACGUUGUCUCCUCAAUUAACAAGUCCCAGUUGGGCGCCAAGAUAAGAAGCGUCACGUGAAAGGUCAAACGGCGAUGAGGACGACAACAAUAGUGGGGUUGCUAUCAAAAUUCUACAUUUUCAACGACGCUGCUAGUUGAAGGUUAAGGUCGGUAAUUUAUCCCCUUUGCUAACGAUGAAGUGGCACGACUUUACUCACUUAAUCGUCACUCUCUUCCACGUUUAAUCCAAGCUGAAAUGUGGUGCAAAAGUGCAACGAUUUCAUGACUAGAUAAGAUCCUUCUGUUAUUUAUUCGAAGCUGGUUGCAAUAGUUGAUUUCCCCUUUGACCUUGAAAUGUUUCUUCUUCUUUCCCCCUUUUUCUUAUCAAUUUGUAUUUACUGAUGAGUUUCGCUUUU